This 420-nucleotide ribosomal RNA is filed under the name uncultured bacterium. RNAcentral's name for it is "bacterial SSU rRNA". It matches the Rfam family "Bacterial small subunit ribosomal RNA", at positions 359 to 776 of the family's 1533-position model. The record is from RNAcentral.
GAAUAUUGGUCAAUGGACGAAAGUCUGAACCAGCCAUGCCGCGUGGAGGAUGAAGGUCCUCUGGAUUGUAAACUUCUUUUAUAUGGGACGAAAAAAGGCCUUUCCAGGUCGUCUGACGGUACCAUAUGAAUAAGCACCGGCUAACUCCGUGCCAGCAGCCGCGGUAAUACGGAGGGUGCAAGCGUUAUCCGGAUUCACUGGGUUUAAAGGGUGCGUAGGUGGGUUGAUAAGUCAGUGGUGAAAUCCCCGAGCUUAACUUGGGAACUGCCAUUGAUACUAUUGAUCUUGAAUACCGUGGAGGUCAGCGGAAUAUGUCAUGUAGCGGUGAAAUGCUUAGAUAUGACAUAGAACACCAAUUGCGAAGGCAGCUGGCUACGCGAAUAUUGACACUGAUGCACGAAAGCGUGGGGAUCAAACAGG